GACGAACGCUGGCGGCGUGCUUAACACAUGCAAGUCGAACGGAAAGGCCCUGCUUUUGUGGGGUGCUCGAGUGGCGAACGGGUGAGUAACACGUGAGUAACCUGCCCUUGACUUUGGGAUAACUUCAGGAAACUGGGGCUAAUACCGGAUAGGAGCUCCUGCUGCAUGGUGGGGGUUGGAAAGUUUCGGCGGUUGGGGAUGGACUCGCGGCUUAUCAGCUUGUUGGUGGGGUAGUGGCUUACCAAGGCUUUGACGGGUAGCCGGCCUGAGAGGGUGACCGGCCACAUUGGGACUGAGAUACGGCCCAGACUCCUACGGGAGGCAGCAGUGGGGAAUAUUGCACAAUGGGCGGAAGCCUGAUGCAGCAACGCCGCGUGCGGGAUGACGGCCUUCAGGUUGUAAACCGCUUUCGCCUGUGACGAAGCGUGAGUGACGGUAAUGGGGAAAGAAGCACCGGCUAACUACGU
RNAcentral lists this ribosomal RNA (467 nucleotides) under uncultured bacterium. RNAcentral's name for it is "partial 16S ribosomal RNA". It matches the Rfam family "Bacterial small subunit ribosomal RNA", at positions 28 to 506 of the family's 1533-position model. The record is from RNAcentral.